GCGAAUAGCUCAGUAACACGUGGCCAAACUACCUUCGGACCACAAUCCUCGGGAAACUGAGGCUAAUAGUGGAUAUCACAGUCCACCUGGAAUGAGGACUGUGCCAAACGCUCCGGCGCCGAAGGAUGUGGCUGCGGCCGAUUAGGUAGACGGUGGGGUAACGGCCCACCGUGCCAAUAAUCGGUACGGGUCAUGAGAGUGAGAACCCGGAGACGGAAUCUGAGACAAGAUUCCGGGCCCUACGGGGCGCAGCAGGCGCGAAACCUUUACACUGCACGCCAGUGCGAUAAGGGAAUCCCAAGUGCGUAGGCAUAGAGCCUACGCUUUUGUCCACCGUAGGGAGGUGGACGAAUAAGGGCUGGGCAAGACCGGUGCCAGCCGCCGCGGUAAUACCGGCAGCCCAAGUGAUGGCCGAUUUUAUUGGGCCUAAAGCGUCCGUAGCUGGCCGCACAAGUCCAUCGGAAAAUCCACCCGCUCAACGGGUGGGCGUCCGGUGGAAACUGUGUGGCUUGGGACCGGAAGGCGCGACGGGUACGUCCGGGGUAGGAGUGAAAUCCCGUAAUCCUGGACGGACCGCCGAUGGCGAAAGCACGUCGCGAGAACGGAUCCGACAGUGAGGGACGAAAGCUAGGGUCUCGAACCGGAUUAGAUACCCGGGUAGUCCUAGCCGUAAACAAUGCCUGCUAGGUGUGGCUCCCACUACGAGUGGGUGCUGUGCCGUAGGGAAGCCGCUAAGCAGGCCGCCUGGGAAGUACGUCCGCAAGGAUGAAACUUAA
Molecule: ribosomal RNA, 776 nt
Filed under: uncultured archaeon
Lineage: Archaea
Description: bacterial SSU rRNA
Rfam family: Archaeal small subunit ribosomal RNA
Source: RNAcentral